UUGCUUGCAGGUUCUGACAUUAAGUCCUAAGUAUGGUUUAGGUACCGGAUUAGGCUUGGUGUGUAUUUUGUUAGUGUAGGCCUGACGUUGGCCUGUAUGUGUUUAAGGGAUUGCUUGUGAAGGGUGGUGGAUAUUAAAGCUAUGCGGUAUCAUUGGUUAGCCGAUCAUGUUCUUGUUUGAUUGUUGGUCGACCGGCUCAUGAU
RNAcentral lists this long non-coding RNA (203 nucleotides) under Brassica napus (rape). RNAcentral's name for it is "long non-coding RNA (BNAP_LNC012321)". Lineage: Eukaryota; Viridiplantae; Streptophyta; Magnoliopsida; Brassicales; Brassicaceae. The record is from RNAcentral.